RNAcentral lists this ribosomal RNA (579 nucleotides) under uncultured bacterium. RNAcentral describes it as "bacterial SSU rRNA". It matches the Rfam family "Bacterial small subunit ribosomal RNA", at positions 338 to 916 of the family's 1533-position model. The record is from RNAcentral.
CCUACGGGAGGCAGCAGUGGGGAAUCUUGCGCAAUGGCCUAACGGCUGACGCAGCGACGCCGCGUGUGGGAUGAAGCUCUUCGGAGUGUAAACCACUGUUGCCCGGGACGAACAGCUCGAUUAAUCGAGCCUGACGGUACCGGGUGAGGAAGCACCGGCUAACUCCGUGCCAGCAGCCGCGGUAAUACGGGGGGUGCGAGCGUUGUCCGGAAUCACUGGGCGUAAAGGGCGCGUAGGUGGUUUGAUAAGGGUGUGGUGAAAGUCCGGGGCUCAACCCCGGAUCUGCCGUGCCGACUGUCAAACUCGAGGACUGUAGAGGCAGACGGAAUUCCGGGUGUAGCGGUGGAAUGCGUAGAGAUCCGGAGGAAGACCGGUGGCGAAGGCGGUCUGCUGGGCAGUUUCUGACACUGAGGCGCGACAGCGUGGGGAGCAAACAGGAUUAGAUACCCUGGUAGUCCACGCCGUAAACGAUGGGUACUAGGUGCCUGGGGGAGCGACCCUCUGGGUGCCGGCGCUAACGCAGGAAGUACCCCGCCUGGGGAGUACGACCGCAAGGUUGAAACUCAAAGGAAUUGACGG